This is a long non-coding RNA of Eriocheir sinensis (Chinese mitten crab), 1784 nucleotides long. RefSeq lists it as uncharacterized. The transcript has 2 exons. Lineage: Eukaryota; Metazoa; Arthropoda; Malacostraca; Decapoda; Varunidae. The record is from RefSeq and is a predicted model, not a curated record.
AUUGCCUACAGAGCAGGUGCAUUGUUGAGGGGUCACAACACUAAUAACUAUUGCGAAUCAACAAUGUGCAUCAUAAAGGAUAAUGUCCUUAAUAGAUGUAAGGCAUAUAACACUGCACAACUUGUAAUGUUUAUGGCUGAAAUCUUCAACUCCUUUAUGAAACAACGGAUAGUGGAUGUAGCACUCAACAGAAGGCAUACGAAGAGAAUGAAUGUCACCAAACUGCCUUUAGAAAGUGUUGUACCCUUGGGGAGUGGGUUGUACCGAGUGGGAAGUGAAACUAAUCCAGGACAAAUGUAUGAGGUGGAUCUAAAUAUUGGUAUUUGCACGUGCACAAAAGGAAAUACUGGUGCAGUCUGCAAACACCAAGCUGUAUGUGCAGACAGUGCAAAUCUAACAGUUCCUCAAAUGCCUAUGCUGAACAGUAAUACCCGUCACCAGUUGGCAGUGUUGGCUCUAGGGCAGAAGGACGCCCCCAGUGAAAAUUUCUUCAAGACACUGAAAGAAAUUAAAAGUGAUGAAGCUAGUAAAAGCAACAUUGAAGCUGCAGUGAAGUUUGGAAAGAGUGAGGAAGCCUGUGAAUUAAAUUUUGAGGUCAAAGGGGAUGCUGAAGAAAUUUCUCCUAGCUGCAGUAUGGAAACAGCAUCGGUGUCAUCUCAAACUAGCAGUGAUCAUGGGGGCUCUUCAUCUUUAGCUGACAACAUUCAUGAUGAGACCAAUAUUGCUGUAGCAGAGCUUUUAAAAACAUCCAAAAAAUUUGGUAAUGAGGAUUCAGUCUCAGCUCUUAAAAUGUUCGUCCAGAGGCUAAGAUCUGUUAAAACCUCAAAUCAAUUUAACAGCUUUCUUCACACUGUGGGUGUGGGUGUGUGUGUGCAAAAGGGAGCUAAACGUCCUCGAAACCUAGCGGAAAAUGUUAGGAACAAUGUGGCCAAUGCCAAAUCACAUGGUAGUGGUCACUAAGUCAUCCUUCUCCUGAAUCUCAUGCUCUUUAUAUUUCUGCCAGAAAUCAUGCCAGACCUGAUCUCUAAUUAGCCAAAAACUCCUUCAUCAAUUGAAAAUAUCAAAACCUGUUACCUUCUAACUCCCCUCGUGAUUUCUGGCAUCUAGCCAAAAAAAUCUCCAAUUUCUCUUCUUCUUUCCGUCCUCUAUUUCAACCCGAUGGGUCCACAUCAGUCACUUUCUAUCUCUAAGGCUGAACUCUUUGCUCAAACCUUUGCCGAAAACUCAACUCUGGCUGAUUCUGGUCUUGUUCCUCCUUCUCCACCCAACUCUGACUAUUAAGAUUCUUUGUAAUUAUGUUUUUCAUACCCUCUCUGGAUUUAAUCUUCGGGAGACUUGAGGACCUGAAGGAGUCCUUCCUAUUGUUCUCAAAAAUUGUGCUUCUGAGCUCACACCCUGCCUGGUAAAACUUUUCCAUUUCUGCCUACCUAAAUCUACUUUUCCUUAAUCCUGGAAGUUUUUACUCAUACAGCUUGUUCCUAAGAUGGGUGACUGCUUCACUUUGGGUGUGGCAAUCUAAGUGGGCUUUUUUGUUUAUCAAUCAAUUUCUUUUAGUUUUGCCCUUGGCCACCACACAUGAUGUAAAAAAAAAAAGUACGUAUCAUUUGGUACUGCACUACAAUGUACGCUAACCCAUACUCUGCAUCGCUCCAAAAUCCUUUUAAACACUAAUUCCAGGCUCACACUGAUAUGCUUCCAUUUUUUUGUACCAUUGGUGACCAAAUUGAAUGGUAUUACCACUGUAAAUUAGGACUGUUAAUUAAGUAUAGCUAUUCUGAAAUUAU